RNAcentral lists this ribosomal RNA (466 nucleotides) under uncultured bacterium. Its description in RNAcentral is "partial 16S ribosomal RNA". It matches the Rfam family "Bacterial small subunit ribosomal RNA", at positions 28 to 505 of the family's 1533-position model. The record is from RNAcentral.
GACGAACGCUGGCGGCGUGCUUAACACGUGCAAGUCGAACGGAAAGGCCCUGCUUUUGUGGGGUGCUCGAGUGGCGAACGGGUGAGUAACACGUGAGUAACCUGCCCUUGACUUUGGGAUAACUUCAGGAAACUGGGGCUAAUACCGGAUAGGAGCUCCUGCUGCAUGGUGGGGGUUGGAAAGUUUCGGCGGUUGGGGAUGGACUCGCGGCUUAUCAGCUUGUUGGUGGGGUAGUGGCUUACCAAGGCUUUGACGGGUAGCCGGCCCGAGAGGGUGACCGGCCCCAUUGGGACUUGGGUACGGCCCCGGCCCCCACGGGGGGACGCCGGGGGGAAUAUUGCCACAUGGGCGGAAGCCUGAUGCAGCAACGCCGCGGGGGGGAUGACGGCCUUCGGGUUGUAAACCCCUUUCCCCUGUGACGAAGCCUGAGGGGCGGUAAAGGGAAAAGAAGCCCCCGCUAACCACC